This 253-nucleotide ribosomal RNA is filed under the name uncultured bacterium. Its description in RNAcentral is "partial 16S ribosomal RNA". It matches the Rfam family "Bacterial small subunit ribosomal RNA", at positions 524 to 776 of the family's 1533-position model. The record is from RNAcentral.
UACGAAGGGGGCUAGCGUUGUUCGGAUUUACUGGGCGUAAAGCGCACGUAGGCGGAUCGUUAAGUCGGGGGUGAAAUCCUGGAGCUCAACUCCAGAACUGCCUUCGAUACUGGCGAUCUCGAGUCCGGAAGAGGUGAGUGGAACUCCUAGUGUAGAGGUGGAAUUCGUAGAUAUUAGGAAGAACACCAGUGGCGAAGGCGGCUCACUGGUCCGGUACUGACGCUGAGGUGCGAAAGCGUGGGGAGCAAACGGG